RNAcentral lists this transfer RNA (75 nucleotides) under Gemmataceae bacterium. RNAcentral describes it as "tRNA-His". It matches the Rfam family "tRNA". Rfam says of the family: Transfer RNA (tRNA) molecules are approximately 80 nucleotides in length. Their secondary structure includes four short double-helical elements and three loops (D, anti-codon, and T loops). Further hydrogen bonds mediate the characteristic L-shaped molecular structure. tRNAs have two regions of fundamental functional importance: the anti-codon, which is responsible for specific mRNA codon recognition, and the 3' end, to which the tRNAs corresponding amino acid is attached (by aminoacyl-tRNA synthetases). tRNAs cope with the degeneracy of the genetic code in two manners: having more than one tRNA (with a specific anti-codon) for a particular amino acid; and 'wobble' base-pairing, i.e. permitting non-standard base-pairing at the 3rd anti-codon position. Lineage: Bacteria; Pseudomonadati; Planctomycetota; Planctomycetia; Gemmatales; Gemmataceae. The record is from RNAcentral.
GUGCCCGUAGUGUAGUGGAUCUCGCACGCCAGGCUGUGGACCUGGAAGCGCCGGGUUCGAUUCCCGCCGGGCACC